Molecule: ribosomal RNA, 484 nt
Filed under: uncultured bacterium
Lineage: Bacteria
Description: partial 16S ribosomal RNA
Rfam family: Bacterial small subunit ribosomal RNA
Source: RNAcentral
AUUGAACGCUGGCGGCAGGCCUAACACAUGCAAGUCGAGCGGAUGAAGGGAGCUUGCUCCUGGAUUCAGCGGCGGACGGGUGAGUAAUGCCUAGGAAUCUGCCUGGUAGUGGGGGAUAACGUCCGGAAACGGGCGCUAAUACCGCAUACGUCCUGAGGGAGAAAGUGGGGGAUCUUCGGACCUCACGCUAUCAGAUGACCCUAGGUCGGAUUAGCUAGUUGGUGGGGUAAAGGCUUACCAAGGCGACGAUCCGUAACUGGUCUGAGAGGAUGAUCAGUCACACUGGAACUGAGACACGGUCCAGACUCCUACGGGAGGCAGCAGUGGGGAAUAUUGGACAAUGGGCGAAAGCCUGAUCCAGCCAUGCCGCGUGUGUGAAGAAGGUCUUCGGAUUGUAAAGCACUUUAAGUUGGGAGGAAGGGCAGUAAGUUAAUCCCUUGCUGUUUUGACGUUACCAACAGAAUAAGCACCGGCUAACUUCGUG